Molecule: ribosomal RNA, 484 nt
Filed under: uncultured bacterium
Lineage: Bacteria
Description: partial 16S ribosomal RNA
Rfam family: Bacterial small subunit ribosomal RNA
Source: RNAcentral
AUUGAACGCUGGCGGCAGGCCUAACACAUGCAAGUCGAGCGGAUGAAGGGAGCUUGCUCCUGGAUUCAGCGGCGGACGGGUGAGUAAUGCCUAUGAAUCUGCCUGGUAGUGGGGGAUAACGUCCGGAAACGGGCGCUAAUACCGCAUACGUCCUGAGGGAGAAAGUGGGGGAUCUUCGGACCUCACGCUAUCAUAUGAGCCUAGGUCGGAUUAGCUAGUUGGUGGGGUAAAGGCCUACCAAGGCGACGAUUCGUAACUGGUCUGAGAGGAUGAUCAGUCACACUAGAACUGAGACACGGUCCAGACUCCUACGGGAGGCAGCAGUGGGGAAUAUUGGACAGUGGGCGAAAGCCUGAUCCAGCCAUGCCGCGUGUGUGAAGAAGGUCUUCGGAUUGUAAAGCACUUUAAGUUGGGAGGAAGGGCAGUAAGUUAAUACCUUGCUGUUUUGACGUUACCAACAGAAUAAGCACCGGCUAACUUCGUG